RNAcentral lists this ribosomal RNA (274 nucleotides) under uncultured bacterium. RNAcentral's name for it is "partial 16S ribosomal RNA". It matches the Rfam family "Bacterial small subunit ribosomal RNA", at positions 523 to 796 of the family's 1533-position model. The record is from RNAcentral.
AUACGGAGGGUGCAAGCGUUACUCGGAAUCACUGGGCGUAAAGCGCGCGCAGGCGGGCUGAUAAGUUGGAUGUGAAAGCCUACGGCUCAACCGUAGAACUGCAUCCAAAACUGUCAGUCUAGAGGGUGGGAGAGGAAGAUGGAAUUAGUUGUGUAGGGGUAAAAUCCGUAGAGAUAACUAAGAAUACCAAAAGCGAAGGCAAUCUUCUGGAACACUACUGACGCUGAGGCGCGAAGGCGUGGGGAGCAAACAGGAUUAGAAACCCCAGUAGUCC